RNAcentral lists this ribosomal RNA (606 nucleotides) under Wolbachia endosymbiont of Bemisia tabaci. RNAcentral's name for it is "bacterial SSU rRNA". It matches the Rfam family "Bacterial small subunit ribosomal RNA", at positions 211 to 834 of the family's 1533-position model. The record is from RNAcentral. Lineage: Bacteria; Pseudomonadati; Pseudomonadota; Alphaproteobacteria; Rickettsiales; Anaplasmataceae.
AUUAUUGCUAUUAGAUGAGCCUAUAUUAGAUUAGCUAGUUGGUGGAGUAAUAGCCUACCAAGGCAAUGAUCUAUAGCUGAUCUGAGAGGAUGAUCAGCCACACUGGAACUGAGAUACGGUCCAGACUCCUACGGGAGGCAGCAGUGGGGAAUAUUGGACAAUGGGCGAAAGCCUGAUCCAGCCAUGCCGCAUGAGUGAAGAAGGCCUUUGGGUUGUAAAGCUCUUUUAGUGAGGAAGAUAAUGACGGUACUCACAGAAGAAGUCCUGGCUAACUCCGUGCCAGCAGCCGCGGUAAUACGGAGAGGGCUAGCGUUAUUCGGAAUUACUGGGCGUAAAGGGCGCGUAGGCUGAUUAAUAAGUUAAAAGUGAAAUCCCGAGGCUUAACCUUGGAAUUGCUUUUAAAACUAUUAAUCUAGAGAUUGAAAGAGGAUAGAGGAAUUCCUGAUGUAGAGGUAAAAUUCGUAAAUAUUAGGAGGAACACCAGUGGCGAAGGCGUCUAUCUGGUUCAAAUCUGACGCUGAAGCGCGAAGGCGUGGGGAGCAAACAGGAUUAGAUACCCUGGUAGUCCACGCUGUAAACGAUGAAUGUUAAAUAUGGGAAGUUUAC